UUACAGGCUUAACACAUGCAAGUCGAGGGGCAGCAUGGUCUUAGCUUGCUAAGGCCGAUGGCGACCGGCGCACGGGUGAGUAACACGUAUCCAACCUGCCGUCUACUCUUGGACAGCCUUCUGAAAGGAAGAUUAAUACAAGAUGGCAUCAUGAGUCCGCAUGUUCACAUGAUUAAAGGUAUUCCGGUAGACGAUGGGGAUGCGUUCCAUUAGAUAGUAGGCGGGGUAACGGCCCACCUAGUCUUCGAUGGAUAGGGGUUCUGAGAGGAAGGUCCCCCACAUUGGAACUGAGACACGGUCCAAACUCCUACGGGAGGCAGCAGUGAGGAAUAUUGGUCAAUGGGCGAGAGCCUGAACCAGCCAAGUAGCGUGAAGGAUGACUGCCCUAUGGGUUGUAAACUUCUUUUAUAAAGGAAUAAAGUCGGGUAUGGAUACCCGUUUGCAUGUACUUUAUGAAUAAGGAUCGGCUAACUCCGUGCCAGCAGCCGCGGUAAUACGGAGGAUCCGAGCGUUAUCCGGAUUUAUUGGGUUUAAAGGGAGCGUAGAUGGAUGUUUAAGUCAGUUGUGAAAGUUUGCGGCUCAACCGUAAAAUUGCAGUUGAUACUGGAUAUCUUGAGUGCAGUUGAGGCAGGCGGAAUUCGUGGUGUAGCGGUGAAAUGCUUAGAUAUCACGAAGAACUCCGAUUGCGAAGGCAGCCUGCUAAGCUGCAACUGACAUUGAGGCUCGAAAGUGUGGGUAUCAAACAGGAUUAGAUACCCUGGUAGUCCACACGGUAAACGAUGAAUACUCGCUGUUUGCGAUAUACUGCAAGCGGCCAAGCGAAAGCGUUAAGUAUUCCCACCUGGGGAGUACGCCGGCAACGGUGAAACUCAAAGGAAUUGACGGGGGCCCGCACAAGCGGAGGAACAUGUGGUUUAAUUCGAUGAUACGCGAGGAACCUUACCCGGGCUUAAAUUGCAGAUGAAUUACGGUGAAAGCCGUAAGCCGCAAGGCAUCUGUGAAGGUGCUGCAUGGUUGUCGUCAGCUCGUGCCGUGAGGUGUCGGCUUAAGUGCCAUAACGAGCGCAACCCUUGUUGUCAGUUACUAACAGGUUCCGCUGAGGACUCUGACAAGACUGCCAUCGUAAGAUGUGAGGAAGGUGGGGAUGACGUCAAAUCAGCACGGCCCUUACGUCCGGGGCUACACACGUGUUACAAUGGGGGGUACAGAGGGCCGCUACCACGCGAGUGGAUGCCAAUCCCCAAAACCUCUCUCAGUUCGGACUGGAGUCUGCAACCCGACUCCACGAAGCUGGAUUCGCUAGUAAUCGCGCAUCAGCCACGGCGCGGUGAAUACGUUCCCGGGCCUUGUACACACCGCCCGUCAAGCCAUGGGAGCCGGGGGUACCUGAAGUGCGUAACCGAGAGGAGCGCCCUAGGGUAAAACUGGUGAC
This 1432-nucleotide ribosomal RNA is filed under the name uncultured organism. Its description in RNAcentral is "SSU rRNA". It matches the Rfam family "Bacterial small subunit ribosomal RNA". The record is from RNAcentral.